This 253-nucleotide ribosomal RNA is filed under the name uncultured bacterium. RNAcentral describes it as "partial 16S ribosomal RNA". It matches the Rfam family "Bacterial small subunit ribosomal RNA", at positions 524 to 776 of the family's 1533-position model. The record is from RNAcentral.
GACGUAGGGUGCAAGCGUUGUCCGGAUUUAUUGGGCGUAAAGAGCUCGUAGGCGGCUUGUUGCGUCGACUGUGAAAACCCGCGGCUUAACCGCGGGCUUGCAGUUGAUACGGGCAGGCUAGAGUUCGGUAGGGGAGACUGGAAUUCCUGGUGUAGCGGUGAAAUGCGCAGAUAUCAGGAGGAACACCGGUGGCGAAGGCGGGUCUCUGGGCCGGUACUGACGCUGAGGAGCGAAAGCGUGGGGAGCAAACAGG